UGACCUCGGUUCAGACGUGAUUACC
This 25-nucleotide ribosomal RNA is filed under the name Fasciola gigantica. Its description in RNAcentral is "partial 28S ribosomal RNA". The record is from RNAcentral. Lineage: Eukaryota; Metazoa; Platyhelminthes; Trematoda; Plagiorchiida; Fasciolidae.